RNAcentral lists this ribosomal RNA (468 nucleotides) under uncultured bacterium. Its description in RNAcentral is "partial 16S ribosomal RNA". It matches the Rfam family "Bacterial small subunit ribosomal RNA", at positions 28 to 507 of the family's 1533-position model. The record is from RNAcentral.
GACGAACGCUGGCGGCGUGCUUAACACAUACAAGUCGAACGGAAAGGCCCUGCUUUUGUGGGGUGCUCGAGUGGCGAACGGGUGAGUAACACGUGAGUAACCUGCCCUUGACUUUGGGAUAACUUCAGGAAACUGGGGCUAAUACCGGAUAGGAGCUCCUGCUGCAUGGUGGGGGUUGGAAAGUUUCGGCGGUUGGGGAUGGACUCGCGGCUUAUCAGCUUGUUGGUGGGGUAGUGGCUUACCAAGGCUUUGACGGGUAGCCGGCCUGAGAGGGUGACCGGCCACAUUGGGACGGAGAUACGGCCCAGACUCCUACGGGAGGCAGCAGUGGGGAAUAUUGCACAAUGGGCGGAAGCCUGAUGCAGCAACGCCGCGUGCGGGAUGACGGCCUUCGGGUUGUAAACCGCUUUCGCCUGUGACGAAGCGUGAGUGACGGUAAUGGGUAAAGAAGCACCGGCUAACUACGUG